RNAcentral lists this ribosomal RNA (468 nucleotides) under uncultured bacterium. RNAcentral's name for it is "partial 16S ribosomal RNA". It matches the Rfam family "Bacterial small subunit ribosomal RNA", at positions 28 to 507 of the family's 1533-position model. The record is from RNAcentral.
GACGAACGCUGGCGGCGGGCUUAACACAUGCAAGUCGAAGGGAAAGGCCCUGCUUGUGUGGGUUGCUCGAGUGGCGAACGGGUGAGUAACACGAGAGUAACCUGCCCUUGACUCUGGGAUAACGUCAGGAAACUGGGGCUAAUACCGGAUAGGAGCUCCUGCUUCAUGGGGGGGGUUGGAAAGUUUCGGCGGUUGGGGAUUGACUCGCGGCGUAUCAGCUGGUUGGCCGGGUAGUGGGUUACCAGGGCUUCGACGGGAAGCUGCCCUGAGAGGGUGACCGGCCCCCUGUCGACAGUGCUACGGCCCGCACCACUACGGGAGGUUGCAGUAGGGGAUAGUGCCCGAUGCGGCGAAGCAUGAUGCAGCAACGCCGCGUGCGGGAUGACAGCCUUCGGUUAUGCAGCGGCUUUCGCCUGGGCCGAACCCUGAGUGCCGGUAAUGGGUAAAGAAGCACCGGCUAACUACGUG